RNAcentral lists this ribosomal RNA (253 nucleotides) under uncultured bacterium. RNAcentral's name for it is "partial 16S ribosomal RNA". It matches the Rfam family "Bacterial small subunit ribosomal RNA", at positions 524 to 776 of the family's 1533-position model. RNAcentral also lists the same sequence under 1 other name. The record is from RNAcentral.
UACGAAGGGGGCUAGCGUUGCUCGGAAUCACUGGGCGUAAAGGGCGCGUAGGCGGCUGAUUUAGUCGAGGGUGAAAGCCUGUGGCUCAACCACAGAAUUGCCUUCGAUACUGGUUGGCUUGAGACCGGAAGAGGACAGCGGAACUGCGAGUGUAGAGGUGAAAUUCGUAGAUAUUCGCAAGAACACCAGUGGCGAAGGCGGCUGUCUGGUCCGGUUCUGACGCUGAGGCGCGAAAGCGUGGGGAGCAAACAGG